This 447-nucleotide ribosomal RNA is filed under the name uncultured archaeon. RNAcentral's name for it is "partial 16S ribosomal RNA". It matches the Rfam family "Archaeal small subunit ribosomal RNA", at positions 330 to 747 of the family's 1478-position model. The record is from RNAcentral.
GCGCAGCAGUCGCGAAAACUCCGCAAUACGCGAAAGCGUGACGGGGCCAUCCCGAGUGCCGUCCGCUGAGGAUGGCUUUUCCCCUGUGUAGAUAGCUGGGGGAAUAAGGAGAGGGCAAGUCUGGUGUCAGCCGCCGCGGUAAUACCAGCUCUUCGAGUGGUAGGGAUGUUUAUUGGGCCUGAAGCAUCCGUAGCUGGCUGAACAAGUCCUCCGUUAAAUCCAGCGAUUUAAUCGUUGGAUUGCGGGGGAUACUGCUCGGCUAGGGGGUGGGAGAGGCCAACGGUAUUCUCGGGGUAGGGGUGAAAUCCUAUAAUCCCGGGAGGACCACCAGUGGCGAAGGCUGUUGGCUAGAACACGCCCGACAGUGAGGGAUGAAAGCUGGGGGAGCGAACCGGAUUAGAUAUGAAGUUGAGUUUUUGCCAGCUUCACUAGAAACCCCGGUAGUCC